Molecule: ribosomal RNA, 491 nt
Filed under: uncultured bacterium
Lineage: Bacteria
Description: bacterial SSU rRNA
Rfam family: Bacterial small subunit ribosomal RNA
Source: RNAcentral
GAUGAACGCUAGCUACAGGCUUAACACAUGCAAGUCGAGGGGCAGCAUGAACUUAGCUUGCUAAGUUGAUCGGCGACCGGCGCGACGGGUGAGUAACACGUAUCCAACCUUCCGUUUACUCAGGGAUAGCCUUUCGAAAGAAAGAUUAAUACCUGAUAGUAUGGUGAGAUUGCAUGAUAGCACCAUUAAAGAUUUAUUGGUAAACGAUGGGGAUGCGUUCCAUUAGGUAGUAGGCGGGGUAACGGCCCACCUAGCCGACGAUGGAUAGGGGUUCUGAGAGGAAGGUCCCCCACAUUGGAACUGAGACACGGUCCAAACUCCUACGGGAGGCAGCAGUGAGGAAUAUUGGUCAAUGGGCGAGAGCCUGAACCAGCCAAGUAGCGUGAAGGAUGAAGGUCCUACGGAUUGUAAACUUCUUUUAUACGGGAAUAAAGUAUCCUACGUGUAGGAUUUUGUAUGUACCGUAUGAAUAAGCAUCGGCUAACUCCGUG